This 481-nucleotide ribosomal RNA is filed under the name uncultured bacterium. RNAcentral's name for it is "bacterial SSU rRNA". It matches the Rfam family "Bacterial small subunit ribosomal RNA", at positions 30 to 507 of the family's 1533-position model. The record is from RNAcentral.
AUUGAACGCUGGCGGCAGGCCUAACACAUGCAAGUCGAGCGCGAAAGGCUUUCGGGCUGAGUAGAGCGGCGGACGGGUGAGUAACGCGUAGGAAUCUACCUGGUAGUGGGGGACAACUUGGGGAAACUCAAGCUAAUACCGCAUACGCCCUAUGGGGGAAAGUGGGGGACCUUCGGGCCUCACGCUAUCAGAUGAGCCUGCGUAGGAUUAGCUAGUUGGUGAGGUAAAGGCUCACCAAGGCGACGAUCCUUAGCUGGUCUGAGAGGAUGAUCAGCCACACUGGGACUGAGACACGGCCCAGACUCCUACGGGAGGCAGCAGUGGGGAAUAUUGCGCAAUGGGGGCAACCCUGACGCAGCCAUGCCGCGUGUGUGAAGAAGGCCUGCGGGUUGUAAAGCACUUUUGUUCGGGAAGAAUCAUGUCGGUUAAUACCCGAUGUGGAUGGACGGUACCGAAAGAAUAAGCACCGGCUAACUUCGUG